CAAGCAUCUGUUUGGAAGUUUUCUUAUGAUGAAGAAUUUGUCAGUCAAAUUGAAAAGGAUUAUAUUGCUGAUGAGGCUCAUAGUCUUCCUCCCAUUCAAAAUGCUGUUGCUGAUCAUGUUGAUACUUCCAUGGAGUCCUUAUCUGCAUUUGGAGAAAAUGAUCCUGACAAGAGUUUGGCCAAUACCCCAUCAAAGAGUGUUUCUCAUGGUGUUAAUGCUGAAGAAUCGGAUUGUCAGCUUUUAGGACUUACACAAUAUUCAGGAACCAAGCCACCCAAAAAAGUGAAGAUUGAACCAAAUGCUUGAAGACUUCAUCAACUUUUGUA
Molecule: long non-coding RNA, 326 nt
Organism: Vicia villosa (hairy vetch)
Lineage: Eukaryota; Viridiplantae; Streptophyta; Magnoliopsida; Fabales; Fabaceae
Exons: 3
Source: RefSeq, a predicted model, not a curated record